This 2073-nucleotide unclassified non-coding RNA is filed under the name Hevea brasiliensis (rubber tree). The record is from RNAcentral. Lineage: Eukaryota; Viridiplantae; Streptophyta; Magnoliopsida; Malpighiales; Euphorbiaceae.
UGAUUCCUUGAUGGAAAUUUACGUAUGCUGUUGUGGAAAUAACAUUGAACUUUCCCUUUUACUUUUAUUAGCAAAUAGAAUCAUUAUAAAAAAGGCAGUGGGAUUUUUUCUCGUAAUUACCAUUUUCUUAGUCUGUACACGGGUAACAAUAAUAGUCUCUGUAUUGCCAAAGAAAUAAAUUUAACAAUGGCCAUAUAAAAUAAAUUUAGCAAUUUUGUGUAUAUGUGGGUUUAUUCGUGUAUAAAUCCUGUAUUUACUAAAUCAGGAUAUCAAUAGGGAACACAUAGUAAAUAAAAUAUAAUUUCAUAAAAAAAUUUAUACGAAAUGAUAUUAUGUGCUCUAUGAAAAAGAUAAUUUCCUCAAACUUACAAAACGUGCUCCAAAACUUAAUACUAUAAAGAACAAUUCUCCAAAAUUUAUGAAACAAAAAAUAUUAGAGAAUGAAAUACAAGGCAUGAAACAUACUGCUACCGGAUUUCCUGAAAGCGUAUGAAAUUUGGGAUCAUUCAUAUUUGUAGCAUAAAUAUAUUGGGGGGCUCACUUGAUGGCAUUUGGCAUAUGUGAAAAUUUUAAGGACGAUGAAAAUUUCUUAAGGAAAUGUAUGCACCAUGUCUAAUUAUAUAUCUUACUGGCUAAAUACGUACAUUUUUUUUUAUUAGAAUGCCUUGUUUUAUCAUGUGGAAUUGGAUCACUUUGAAGUUCCUAUUGAGGUGGAAUUGGCUUCUUUUAUAUAAAAUUGAUGCCAACUCAGUUAUUGGGAUGUGAUAAAAAACGGGCGCAAAUUAGAACUUGAUGGAGAUGGCAGUGGCUUCUACUAUAUUAAGUUUAAUUCCAAAUUUACGGAUGUCAAAUUUUCCCUUAAGUCCAGGUCUAGGGCACUACUAUGCUGCAGAUUACUGGGGUUUGAGCGUUUUGAUUGGGCAUUUUGCUUUUCUCAAUGCUGCUGAGUUCCAGAUGGGGGUUGGGUCCUGGGAAUUCCCUUACUGUCUCAUCUCUGUGAGUAGUUGUGGAUAUGGAUGGGGAUAUCUAAGCAUUUGCAAAUACAUGGGAUUUACAUAUAAAACAAAUGAAUAGUUAUGAGAAUUUUUAUUCUGUUUAUGGUCAUAUUUCAAUCACUGGAUGAGAAUUUUCUAAUUGAGAUUUACAAGCAUGUUCAGAAUAUAAAAAUUAUCUAGAAAGAUUAAUUGAUAGCAAAUUAGCUACCAACAAUUCUAAGAAUAUACUAAACGUCGCUUUAUUUUCCAAAAGCAUAUACCCUGGCCCCCUAGUUCGAGAAAUCUGUUCAUUUAAGGGGAAACUUCAUUAUAUUUGAGACGUGUCAAUGAAGUAGUUGUCUGAUCUGAAAUUACACAUGGUGUUGAGCAGCCAGAAAUGUCAAAAAUUCUCUUUUAUCCCCAAACAAUCCCUCUUGGAAUGGGAAGCAAUGGAAGUGUGCAGGUUUUCAUACGUGGGACUUUUGAGUAAUGGUGGAGAUGUGGUGAGCGGGGACAGUGGCUUUUGUGGUAAUGGUGAAGGCGGCAAAUUUGUUGGUGUGGUUGUGCUGAAGAUAGUACUUUUUUCUGGGAGUAAAGACCUGAACCACGAUGAAAUGCCCCCCAUUUUGAGUAUAGAAGGAUUCUGGAUGACUAGGUGGGAAAAUGCUAGCAAAUGUAACCUAGCAUGUGAAUUAUGCAAAAAUUUUAAAACAAAAAGAAUUUGCUAUCACAAAAAAAGGAGCAUUCAACUAUUUAUGGAACUUGAUAUCAUUUAGAGUGCUCCCUUUUAAUUACCUCCUAAUUAAGUGCACUGUGGCAAAUACCUCAACCCAACUUGGCUAUAAGAGAGAAAUGUAAUUUUCAUUUUAAGUCAUUCUACUUUGUCCCAACUUCCAAACGAUUGAUUAGAUUAAUUAAAGCAUGAUUGAUUUUCAGUCAUAAACUGGUCUUCAAUAAGACUUGGUUUCUUUUUUUGUCUUGUAUUGAUCUUCUUUCCAUUUUUAAGCCAUGCUAGCAAGUAGGAAGAAUGAAGUGGAUAUUAUGGAUGGCUCUGUGUACUUUUUUAAUUUGUUUGUUUGCUUGCUGAAUUAUAAUGAAG